UCCUCAGUCAAACCCGGGCCAUCAGUCU
RNAcentral lists this non-coding RNA (28 nucleotides) under Mus musculus (house mouse). The record is from RNAcentral. Lineage: Eukaryota; Metazoa; Chordata; Mammalia; Rodentia; Muridae.